Molecule: ribosomal RNA, 253 nt
Filed under: uncultured bacterium
Lineage: Bacteria
Description: partial 16S ribosomal RNA
Rfam family: Bacterial small subunit ribosomal RNA
Source: RNAcentral
UACGGAGGGUGCGAGCGUUGUUCGGAAUCACUGGGCGUAAAGGGCGUGUAGGCGGUCCGCUAAGUCUGAUGUGAAAGCCCGGAGCUCACCCCCGGAAGUGCAUUGGAAACUGGCGGACUCGAGUCCCGGAGAGGAGAGUGGAAUUCCUGGUGUAGCGGUGAAAUGCGUAGAUAUCAGGAGGAACACCGGUGGCGAAGGCGGCUCUCUGGACGGUGACUGACGCUGAGACGCGAAAGCGUGGGGAGCAAACAGG